RNAcentral lists this RNase P RNA (327 nucleotides) under Bdellovibrionales bacterium. RNAcentral's name for it is "RNase P RNA component class A". It matches the Rfam family "Bacterial RNase P class A". From Rfam's summary of the family: Ribonuclease P (RNase P) is a ubiquitous endoribonuclease, found in archaea, bacteria and eukarya as well as chloroplasts and mitochondria. Its best characterised activity is the generation of mature 5'-ends of tRNAs by cleaving the 5'-leader elements of precursor-tRNAs. The record is from RNAcentral. Lineage: Bacteria; Pseudomonadati; Bdellovibrionota; Bdellovibrionia; Bdellovibrionales.
AAGGAUUGGUAAGUUAUCGCUCCCAUUGGGAGAGGAAAGUCCGGACUUCACAGGCAGCGCAAGGGGUAACGCCCCUCCACCGUAAGGUGAGGACCAGUGGAACAGAGAGAAUGUCCAGAGCUAUGAUCCUUAGGCUGGGAACGGGAAGUCUAAGGGGAGUUGCUGGAGUGAAAACAGCUAAACUCUGCGCGAAGCAAGAUCAAAUAGGGAAGGGUUUGAGUGUGCCUGCACGAACCUUCCGGGUUGAUCGCUUAAGGGUGUCAGUAAUGCCACUCUCAGAUGAAUGAUAACUCACGACAGAAUCCGGCUUAUCGCCGAUCCUCGUGG